GGGCAGCACGCCGGGAGCCAUUUAGUUUUAUGCUCUUAUUGUAUGAAUAGAAAAAAAAAUGUCCUUAGUGGUUAAGUGGCUUCUCAAUGCCACGUAAGACUUGUUCCAGAGAAGUUGAAUUAGGGGAAGGUGAACACGUUGGAAGUUAGUGACAAGGAGAAAAGCUGAAAACUACAGAAGAAAGUCAGAACCAGAGGGAAAAGUAAGACUGAGUAGGCGUCUCCGGGUUUGUGAAAAAGUGGAUUUUCUUUGUUGCAGUCAGGGGAGGUUUGUCUGCUGGUUGCAGAAAGAAGUCAGACUAGAGAUACUGUGGGGUUGUUUUGUUUGGAACGGAAAUCAAAGACCAAUUUUUGUGAGAGAAGGAAAUAACAUCUGCAAAUGACAUGCUGUUUCUGCUGCUUCCAUUGCUAGCUGUUCUCCCAGGUGGUGAAAAUGCAGACGGGUUCAAGGAGGCUGUCUGCUUCCGUGUCAUCCAAAUCUCAUCCUUUUACAACCAUUCCUGGGAAUGAAAUCUUGGCUCAGGUUGGCUGGGUGAUUUGCAGACUCACACCUGGGACAGCAAUUCCAGCACCAUCAUUUUCCUGUGGCCCUGGUCCAGGGGAACCUUCAGCAGUGAGGAGUGGAUGGACCUGGAUACGUUAUUCCGUAUACACUUUAUUCAUUUUACUGAGGCAGUUCAUAGACACACCAGUGAAUUAAUAUUUGAAUAUCCUUUUGAGAUACAGAUAAGAGCAGGCUGUGAGGUGCACUCUGGAAAGCUCUCAGGAAGCUUCCUUCAGGUAGCUCACCAAGGAUCAGAUUUCAUGAGCUUCCAGAACAACUCAUGCCUGCCAUCUCCACUUGCUGGAAAUGCGGCCAAGCGUCUCUGCAAAGUUUAUCAGCUUCAGCGUAACAAGGACCUAAUACACCAUCUCUUCAGUGACACCUGCCCACGUUUCCUCUUGGGUCUUCUUGAUGCAGGAAAGGCACAUCUCCAGCGGCAAGUGAAGCCUGAGGCCUGGCUGUCCCGUGGUCCCAGUCCAGGCCCUGGCCAUCUGCUGCUGGUGUGCCAUGUCUCAGGAUUCUACCCAAAGCCUGUGUGGGUGAGGUGGAUGCGGGGUGAGCAGGAACAGCCGGGCACUCAGCGAGGGGACAUCCUGCCCAAUGCUGAUGGAACAUGGUAUCUCCAAGCAACCCUGGAGGUGGCCGCUGGGGAGGCAGCUGAUCUGUCCUGUCGGGUGAAGCACAGCAGUCUAGAGGGCCAGGACAUCGUCCUCUACUGGGAACAUCACAAUUCCGUGGGCUUGAUCAUCUUGGCGGUGAUAGUGCCUUUACUUCUUCUGAUAGUGUGUCUUGCACUUUGGUUCAGGAAACGCUGUUUCUAUUAAGACACAUCAUGAGCCUUCUCGUCAUCAUUCUCCUUUUGGGAUGAGAAACCAGCAGCCCAAGGGCUCAGGACACACCUGACCAUGUCGUGGUGAUGACGUCGUUUCCACUCUCCUUGUUAAUUUGCUUGUUUCUGCUUAACGAUCAUUUGUCAAUAUAAGCUCAAUUUAAUUUUGGAGGAUUUGUUGUUCUGACCUGGGUUUCGGGACUUUGAAAUUCAAAUUUUAUCUGUGAAUGGAAUGGGGUCCUAGAAAACUUCACAUGCUCGACCACUAAUGUAUCAUCAGGCCCUUUUAGAUUCCCUUCCUCCAGAGGGCCUUCCCUGACUCACAGGUGGGAAGCAGUCUCGCCCUGCUCUGAACUCCCGCCAGAUUUCAGCCGUAUUUGCUGACUGUACUCUUCACUUCCUCUCCUUCAUUGCAGUUAUUUAGGUGCUGCUUUUCCUUCUAAUUUUUCAGCUCCUUCAAUGCAAAGUAAAUGUGUUUUAAAUCUACGUAUUCCUGGUGAAGGAUCUUGCCUGCAUGAAACAUAAACUAUUGAAUGUAUGCUCAAUUUGUAGUCUUUUCUGAUUCUUUUCCCUCCUGGUACUUUGAAGCAGUUCAGUCAUUUGAUAUUUUUCUUGUCUAAAGUCUUCUUACUUGGAGGAGGUUUUACACAUUUCUAGUUCUAUAGUGUUUUAGCUCCAGAGGAGAAACACCAUUUUGCCUCUCAUACUACUGUCACUGAACUAUAGAGAGCUAUUAGAUUAAUUUACUGUUCCAAGUAUGCAGGGCAGGAUGCGAGUCUUUACUAUUCAGUGGUUCAGAGAUGAGUAGCAGAGUUAUCACAUUGGAGCUUGAUAGAAAGGUCGAAUUUGGAGCUCACUUUAGAUUUACUGAAUUAUAAUUUGCAUUUUGGAAAAGCAGAAGAAUACUCAACAAGUUUAUUAGAAUUUGAGUGACAGUCAUGUGCGUGAUGCCUGAGAUAUAGUACAAGUGUGUCACUGAAAAGAAAAUGACCCAGCAAUCCCAUUACUGGAUAUAUCGUCAAAGGAUUAUAGAUCGUUCUAUUAUAAAGAGACAUGCCCACGUAUGUUCAUUGCGGCACUGUUCACAAUAGCAAAGACUUGGACCCAACCCAAAUGUCUCUCAAUAAUAGAUCCGAUCAAGAAUGUGGCACAUAUACACCAUGGAAUAUUACACAGCCAUAAAAAACAAUGAAUUUGUGUCCUUCGUAGGGACAUGGAUGAAUCUGGAAACCAUCAUUCUCAGCGAACUGACACAAGAACAGAAAACCAAACACCGUAUGUUCUUACUCACAUAUGUUCUCUCAACAUCUCACAUAGGCAGAUGUUGAACAAUGAGAGCACAUGGACACCGGGAGAAUAACAUCACACACUGCGGUCUG
Non-coding RNA from Callithrix jacchus (white-tufted-ear marmoset), 2751 nucleotides. Lineage: Eukaryota; Metazoa; Chordata; Mammalia; Primates; Cebidae. The record is from RefSeq and is a predicted model, not a curated record.